AGAUUCCAAGGUAACAAAGAGAAAUAAAACUUGCCUGAUUAGAAAGUCUUUAAGUAAUUUUGUUGAUAUUGCCAAGUCUGCCACAUUCUGAGAGCAAGGGAUUGAUCCUUUCUACCAUGUUUUUAAAGAAAUCAUAGGGGGAAAAAUGCCCUCACCCAUCAAAGCAUUUUACAACUCUUUUUCCAAGGUCAGCCUUCUGUUACUACUAUGACCUCCUUAGACAUUAACAGGGGAGCCUUGAGACUGCCACUGUGAACUUUGCCCCUGUUGAGAAAUGCUUGUCUUAUGAUGUCCCUUCUGAUAUUCUCCGUGGGGACACUCAGCAUCUUGCAUCAUUCGGCCGGACAGUUUGGAGUAGAAUCCUCUCCUAGGUUUAAGAGCAAAAGACCAAACAGAUGCUCAGCAUUCCAUAAAACCUACAUGGCCACUAGGAGAAAGGCAAAGCUUUCUAGAACAAUGUAGGCAGUCAGCAGUAUGUUCCCAGCUGGCUCUCAAUAAAUAAUGGCCAGUGGGAUCAUAAGACAGCGUCAAUAGGGGAAAAAUAAAGGGCUCAGUGGAGAACAUCUGACUCCAAACUUCUGUGAUGGGAGUAUGAUGGCUGGACAUGGAAGGCAUGACCAAAUCAAUGAGGCUCUUGUAGGCUAGGCUGUGGGGUCUGAAAGUCUUCCCAUAGUUAGUGGGAAAAUGUUGAAAGAUUGAACCAUGUGUAUACUCUAUUGUUGCCAGAGAAAUCACUCUUGCAGCAGUAGGGUAGGUAAAUGGGAAGGGACCAUAGAAGAGGAGAGUUGGAUAAACUAAGGGGCCAUUGUUGUGUCACAGUGGGAAAGGAUGAGGUUCUGAACUCAGAAACAGUGGGCUGGUAGAGAAGGAGACACAUUUGUGCAAUAUUUAGGAAGCAAAAUUGUAGAGCAGGAAUGGAUCUGAAGUCAAUGAAAAACUCUUCAUAGCUCUAGUUGUUGGGCUUCCCCAGAAGAUGACAUUGAAAGGAAGGUUUGGAUGCAAGUUGUUCAUUUAGGAGGAGAUCUCAGGAAGCACAAAGUAUUUCCUUGAGUCAGGACCUCCAAGUCCUCCCCUAACUCCAGGUAUGCUGGGUGCUGGAGAGAGCCCUGGACUUGGAGUCAAAAGACUGCAGUUGGAGCAGAGGAUCUUCCCUCAGAAGUUCUGCUGUGGGCUGAGUCGUUUCACCUCUCUGGGCCCCAGAUGGACCUUUGUAAAACUGAGUGGAGGCGAGGAGGUGCAGCAGGUCCAUAAAUUCAUCAGCUUCCCAGGCUGCUUCCACCUUUGCUACAUGUGGCCUCAUCCUUACAGCCCAAGAUGGCUCCUAGGGCUCUAGCCAUCACAUGCUGGUACCAGAGAGCAAGAUGACUGAAGGGGAGGAAAGAGAGCAUGUGCUUGUCUCGUGAAGAGAUUUCCUGGAAGUUACACAAAACAUUUCUGUUUUCAGCUUGUUGACUAGAACAUAGUCGUCUGUCAUACUUAGUGUGGAGGGUGACCAAAGAGGGAGUGUUUUGUCUGAAUAGCAUUGCAUCCAGCCAGAUAGCGAGGGCAAGUAGCUGGAGGGAAGAGGAAGACAGACAUUGUAGAGGAAGCUAGCAGUGACUCCCCCCCAGAUUAUAUCCUAUUAAUAAAAGUAAGAACCUAAUUUAUGCCAUGUGCCUGGGCCUCACAGGGCCAUCACACCUCCAUGAAACAAAGUGCUUGGCCUCACUCUGGUUUGCUUUUGUCAUCUCUGAAACAAGGAGGUUUUACUUCCCCAUGUUUCCCAAAUGUCCAUCAUUCAAAUAAUGCUUCUGCUGUGUAGCCAUGUCUACAGCUGUGGUCAAUGCUCCUCAUCAAGGCCGCUGUCUGUGUACCACUCGUGAUUUAAUCAGUCCGUUUUCUUCCAGGGGACUCUCCCUUUAAGCUUCUCUCUCUCUCUCU
RNAcentral lists this long non-coding RNA (1920 nucleotides) under Homo sapiens (human). Its description in RNAcentral is "HSALNT0383683". Lineage: Eukaryota; Metazoa; Chordata; Mammalia; Primates; Hominidae. The record is from RNAcentral.